CAAAGGCAUGGUCCUGACCUUAUUAUCAGCUCUAACCCAGCUUACACAUGCAAGUCUCCGCAGUCCCGUGAAUAUGCCCUCAGUCCCCCGCCCGGGAACAAGGAGCGGGCAUCAGGCACAAAUUUUAGCCCAAGACGCCUAGCCAAGCCACACCCCCAAGGGAAUUCAGCAGUGAUAAACAUUAAGCCAUAAGUGAAAACUUGACUCAGCCAGGGCUAAGAGGGCCGGUAAAACUCGUGCCAGCCACCGCGGUUAAACGAGAGGCCCUAGUUGAUAAUAUUACGGCGUAAAGGGUGGUUAAGGAGGAAAUUAAUAAUAAGGCCAAAUGGCCCCUUGGCCGUCAUACGCUUCUAGGUGUCCGAAGCCCAACCCACGAAAGUAGCUUUAGCAUAACCCACCUGACCCCACGAAAGCUGAGAAACAAACUGGGAUUAGAUACCCCACUAUGCUCAGCCAUAAACCCCGACCUCAAACUACAAUUACAAGUCCGCCAGGGUACUACGAGCAUUAGCUUGAAACCCAAAGGACCUGACGGUGCCUUAGACCCCCCUAGAGGAGCCUGUUCUAGAACCGAUAACCCCCGUUAAACCUCACCACUUCUAGCCAUCCCAGCCUAUAUACCGCCGUCGCCAGCUUACCCUGUGAAGGCAAUAAAAGUAAGCAAAAUGGGCACAACCCAGAACGUCAGGUCGAGGUGUAGCGUACGAAGCGGAAAGAAAUGGGCUACAUUUUCUAUUACAGAACACUACGAACAUGCAACAUGAAAUAGUGCUUGAAGGAGGAUUUAGUAGUAAAAAGGAAGCAGAGUGUCCUUUUGAACCCGGCUCUAAGACGCGUACACACCGCCCGUCACUCUCCCCUGUCAAAACGCAUUAAAAAUAUAUAAUACUCAAGCACUGACAAGGGGAGGCAAGUCGUAACAUGGUAAGUGUACCGGAAGGUGCACUUGGAUUAAACC
Molecule: non-coding RNA, 958 nt
Filed under: Microphysogobio alticorpus
Lineage: Eukaryota; Metazoa; Chordata; Actinopteri; Cypriniformes; Gobionidae
Description: 12S ribosomal RNA
Rfam family: Bacterial small subunit ribosomal RNA
Source: RNAcentral